GUGUCAGCCGCCGCGGUAAUACGUAGGGGGCGAGCGUUGUCCGGAAUUACUGGGCGUAAAGGGUACGUAGGCGGCUAGGUAAGUCAGAUGUGAAAUCCAUGGGCUCAACCCAUGUAAGCAUUUGAAACUGCUUAGCUUGAGUUAAGGAGAGGAAAGUGGAAUUCCUGGUGUAGCGGUGAAAUGCGUAGAUAUCAGGAGGAAUACCAGUGGCGAAGGCGACUUUCUGGUCUUAAACUGACGCUGAGGUACGAAAGCGUGGGGAGCAAACAGGAUUAGAUACCCUGGUAGUCCACGCCGUAAACGAUGAGUGCUAGGUGUCGGGGGUUUAACCUUCGGUGCCGCAGUUAACACAUUAAGCACUCCGCCUGGGGAGUACGUUCGCAAGAAUGAAACUCAAAGAAAUUGACGG
Molecule: ribosomal RNA, 409 nt
Filed under: uncultured bacterium
Lineage: Bacteria
Description: bacterial SSU rRNA
Rfam family: Bacterial small subunit ribosomal RNA
Source: RNAcentral